RNAcentral lists this ribosomal RNA (2878 nucleotides) under Acinetobacter baumannii. RNAcentral's name for it is "bacterial LSU rRNA". It matches the Rfam family "Bacterial large subunit ribosomal RNA". The record is from RNAcentral. Lineage: Bacteria; Pseudomonadati; Pseudomonadota; Gammaproteobacteria; Moraxellales; Moraxellaceae.
AGUGCAUGUGGUGGAUGCCUUGGCAGUCAGAGGCGAUGAAAGACGUGAUAGCCUGCGAAAAGCUCCGGGGAGGCGGCAAAUAUCCUUUGAUCCGGAGAUGUCUGAAUGGGGGAACCCACCUACUUUAAGGUAGGUAUUGCAACAUGAAUACAUAGUGUUGCAAGGCGAACGAGGGGAAGUGAAACAUCUCAGUACCCUUAGGAAAAGAAAUCAAUUGAGAUUCCCUCAGUAGCGGCGAGCGAACGGGGAUCAGCCCAUUAAGUUAUGUGUGUUUUAGUGGAACGCUCUGGGAAGUGCGAACGUAGAGGGUGAUAUUCCCGUACACGAAAGGGCACACAUAAUGAUGACGAGUAGGGCGAGGCACGUGAAACCUUGUCUGAAUAUGGGGGGACCAUCCUCCAAGGCUAAAUACUCCUGACUGACCGAUAGUGAACCAGUACCGUGAGGGAAAGGCGAAAAGAACCCCUGUGAGGGGAGUGAAAUAGAUCCUGAAACCGCAUGCAUACAAGCAGUGGGAGCACCUUCGUGGUGUGACUGCGUACCUUUUGUAUAAUGGGUCAGCGACUUAUAUUCAGUAGCGAGGUUAACCGUAUAGGGGAGCCGUAGAGAAAUCGAGUCUUAAUAGGGCGUUUAGUUGCUGGGUAUAGACCCGAAACCAGGCGAUCUAUCCAUGAGCAGGUUGAAGGUUGGGUAACACUAACUGGAGGACCGAACCCACUGUCGUUGAAAAGCCAGGGGAUGACUUGUGGAUAGGGGUGAAAGGCUAAUCAAGCCUGGUGAUAGCUGGUUCUCCCCGAAAGCUAUUUAGGUAGCGCCUCGGACGAAUACCAUAGGGGGUAGAGCACUGUUUCGGCUAGGGGGUCAUCCCGACUUACCAAACCGAUGCAAACUCCGAAUACCUAUGAGUACUAUCCGGGAGACAGACUGCGGGUGCUAACGUCCGUAGUCAAGAGGAAAACAAUCCAGACCGCCAGCUAAGGCCCCAAAAUCAUAGUUAAGUGGGAAACGAUGUGGGAAGGCAUAGACAGCUAGGAGGUUGGCUUAGAAGCAGCCACCCUUUAAAGAAAGCGUAAUAGCUCACUAGUCGAGUCGGCCUGCGCGGAAGAUGUAACGGGGCUAAAACUAUGUGCCGAAGCUGCGGAUGUAUACUUUGUAUACGUGGUAGGGGAGCGUUCUGUAAGCCGAUGAAGGUGUGUUGAGAAGCAUGCUGGAGGUAUCAGAAGUGCGAAUGCUGACGUGAGUAACGACAAAACGGGUGAAAAACCCGUUCGCCGAAAGACCAAGGGUUCCAGUCCAACGUUAAUCGGGGCUGGGUGAGUCGACCCCUAAGGCGAGGCCGAAAGGCGUAGUCGAUGGGAAAAUGGUUAAUAUUCCAUUACUUCUGUGUAAUGCGAUGAGAGGACGGAGAAGGCUAAAUCAGCCUGGCGUUGGUUGUCCAGGUGAAAGGAUGUAGGCAUGUAUCUUAGGCAAAUCCGGGGUACUCUAUGCUGAGAUCUGAUAGCAAGCUGUACUUGUACAGCGAAGUGGUUGAUGCUAUGCUUCCAGGAAAAGUCUCUAAGCUUCAGUUACACAGGAAUCGUACCCGAAACCGACACAGGUGGUCAGGUCGAGUAGACCAAGGCGCUUGAGAGAACUCUGCUGAAGGAACUAGGCAAAAUGGUACCGUAACUUCGGGAGAAGGUACGCUGUUGUUGGUGAUGGAACUCGCUUCCUGAGCUGACGACAGCCGCAGAAACCAGGCCGCUGCAACUGUUUAUUAAAAACAUAGCACUCUGCAAACACGAAAGUGGACGUAUAGGGUGUGAUGCCUGCCCGGUGCUGGAAGGUUAAUUGAUGGGGUUAGCGUAAGCGAAGCUCUUGAUCGAAGCCCCAGUAAACGGCGGCCGUAACUAUAACGGUCCUAAGGUAGCGAAAUUCCUUGUCGGGUAAGUUCCGACCUGCACGAAUGGCAUAAUGAUGGCGGCGCUGUCUCCAGCAGAGGCUCAGUGAAAUCGAAAUCGCUGUGAAGAUGCAGUGUACCCGCGGCUAGACGGAAAGACCCCGUGAACCUUUACUGCAGCUUGACACUGAACUUUGACCUUACUUGUGUAGGAUAGGUGGGAGGCUUUGAAGCUGGAACGCUAGUUCCAGUGGAGCCGUCCUUGAAAUACCACCCUGGUAAUGUUGAGGUUCUAACUCUGUCCCGUGAUCCGGGACGAGGACCGUGUCUGGUGGGUAGUUUGACUGGGGCGGUCUCCUCCUAAAGAGUAACGGAGGAGUACGAAGGUGCGCUCAGCGUGGUCGGAAAUCACGCGUAGAGUAUAAAGGCAAAAGCGCGCUUAACUGCGAGACCCACAAGUCGAGCAGGUACGAAAGUAGGUCUUAGUGAUCCGGUGGUUCUGUAUGGAAGGGCCAUCGCUCAACGGAUAAAAGGUACUCUGGGGAUAACAGGCUGAUACCGCCCAAGAGUUCAUAUCGACGGCGGUGUUUGGCACCUCGAUGUCGGCUCAUCUCAUCCUGGGGCUGAAGCAGGUCCCAAGGGUAUGGCUGUUCGCCAUUUAAAGAGGUACGCGAGCUGGGUUUAGAACGUCGUGAGACAGUUCGGUCCCUAUCUACCGUGGGCGCUGGAAAUUUGAGAGGAUCUGCUCCUAGUACGAGAGGACCAGAGUGGACGAACCUCUGGUGUACCGGUUGUGACGCCAGUCGCAUCGCCGGGUAGCUAUGUUCGGAAGGGAUAACCGCUGAAAGCAUCUAAGCGGGAAGCCUACCUCAAGAUAAGAUUUCCCUAGGACUUUAUGUCCUCUAAAGAGCCGUUCGAGACUAGGACGUUGAUAGGUUGGAUGUGGAAGCAUAGUGAUAUGUGAAGCUGACCAAUACUAAUUGCUCGUGAGGCUUGACU